GCUCCGUUGGUGAACCAGCGGAGGGAUCAUUAUCGAGUUAUUCAACUCCCAAACCCUAUGUGAACUUACCACUUGUUGCUUCGGCGCGCGCUUCGGCGCCGCCGAGGACACUUAAACUCUUUGUUUUUAUAAGCAUUUCUGAGUGGCCGAAAGGCAAAAUACAAAUGAAUCAAAACUUUCAACAACGGAUCUCUUGGUUCUG
Molecule: unclassified non-coding RNA, 202 nt
Filed under: plant metagenome
Description: partial contains small subunit ribosomal RNA, internal transcribed spacer 1, and 5.8S ribosomal RNA
Source: RNAcentral